AAUUUCAGUAUAAAUGGCGCACUAUUCUAGUCAAUAGCCAUAUUAUGAAGACGGGAAUAAAUCACCGUUAAAGAGCAUAUCUGUGAAACCUUUGGUGUUUGCUUCAUACGCCCAGUGUGGGGUGAAUGCUGAAGAUGAGUGGUUAUUGGGCGAUCGUAAUGGCAUACGGCAACCGACCCAAUUUCCUUGGAGACCAAAUUAUGUGAUAGGCCUAUACGUGCAUCUACUGACGGACCUGUUACGAAUUUGGCUUGAACCUGUAUUGUGGCGAAAGUUAUGUACAGUGUAGCUUGUCUUGAGUGGAAUCAUUGGGAUAAGUGAUCUUUAAUAAUUUAAUUGGCCAAUUAUUUUAUUAUUGCACUUUGAAAUUUUUUCUGCAAAAAAGAAUUAAUAAUAUGGCGUGGUGAGGAAAUCUCCUAGAGUGUUGAAUAUGGGAUUGCAGUGGAUACUAAGUGGUAAUCAAGUCAUAUGUUUGGAAACAGCAUAUUGAUUUCUUUAAUGGGGAACCACAUAUUUGGUAACGAAUAUGUUGAAAUCAGGGAAAUCCUACUUGACCUAAGGUUCAAAGUUUACUAUAUUCAUGCCAUUUUUUAAUUUA
Molecule: small RNA, 598 nt
Filed under: bovine gut metagenome
Source: RNAcentral